This 1018-nucleotide long non-coding RNA is filed under the name Anas platyrhynchos platyrhynchos (common mallard). RNAcentral describes it as "lncRNA (ENSAPLG00000023184.1)". The record is from RNAcentral. Lineage: Eukaryota; Metazoa; Chordata; Aves; Anseriformes; Anatidae.
AGUACUAGUAAUACGAACCAAGGUUUGGGAACCUCAAUAACCAGAUGAAUCAGACAAGUCAUCAAGAGUUAAAACAAAUUUAUGGAAACUACCAAGAGUGGGCACAGAUUGGCACAUCACCACUGAAGGAACUGGAAUUUGCAUCAAAGGUUUUGUUGACUGUGUUAUUCUCAUCCUGUCUCAUCCUGUGACUGAACAACUUGUAACAAAUACUAGUCAUAUUACUUAAGAUGUCAUUACAAUAUGCUCAGAUAAGAAACAGACAAUUGGAGAAGAACAGAAAAACUCUGCCCUGGAAGGAGAUGGUGAGUAGCAUACAAGUAAAAGGAAACUAAUAUCUGGAAGAAGUACACAAAUGAGACAUGCAUGGAUUUGGUGUCAUUGAGUUGCUUAGUGUCUUUCCUAUAUGCAACAGUUCUUUAUGGCUGAAUACUAUGCCAAGGGACAAUUGCAUCCUGAAUUGUUGCCAUCAGAAGUGAAAACUGAACAGGCUUUAUGCCAUCUAUAAAAUCAUCUACACAGUCCACUUGGUGAAAUGUCUCUUAAUUACACAAGGUCAAGUACAAAAGGUGCUAUUUAAUCAAACUGGUCCUGCUGUGUGAGAUGUCUGCCAACGAAUGGACAGAAGACAGGACUGCAAUUUUACCAAUUAUUAAGCAUUAACUGAAAGUCCACUUGAUUAGAAGUGAGACUCCUUCAUUAUACAUGACCAUUACAGUUUAUAGAGGGUUUUUUAGUUCCUUCCUUCAACUUGAUUUCUUUGACGAUGUAAUACAAAUGAGUACUCUGACUGCUCCAUGACAGUUACCUUCUUCCCCAAUCAUCUCUCUGGCCUGACCUUGACCUAUAGAUAGACUUUGGCAUUUAGUGAUAAUGUGGUUUGUGGUAGCAGUAACCGCAAAACAGGAUCUUCCCAGUGGCUUCAAGCCAGAGUGUUACUCACUGGCUAAUGGUUAGAAUAGAAGGAUAAUAGAUAUAGGUAAAUAAAUCUGAGAUUUAGAGUUUGUUAAUUUUAAAU